This 835-nucleotide ribosomal RNA is filed under the name uncultured organism. RNAcentral's name for it is "bacterial SSU rRNA". It matches the Rfam family "Bacterial small subunit ribosomal RNA", at positions 663 to 1510 of the family's 1533-position model. The record is from RNAcentral.
GGAAUGCGUAAUGUAGCGGUGAAAUGCAUAGAUUAUUACGCAGAACACCGAUCGCGAAAGCAGCUUCCUAGGCUAUUACUGACACUGAGGCACGAAAGCGUGGGGAGCGAACAGGAUUAGAUACCUGGUAGUCCACGCCGUAAACGAUGCUCACUCGCUGUUGGCGAUAUAUUGUCAGCAGUUAAGCUAAAGCAUUAAGUGAGCCACCUGGGAAGUACGUCCGCAAGGAUGAGACUCAAAGGAAUUGACGGGGGCCCGCACAACCGGUGGAACAUGUGGUUCAAUUCGAUGAUACGCGAGGAACCUUACCUGGGCUUAAAUGUAGUUUGACUUCCGCCGAAAGGCGGUUUUCCUUCGGGACAAAUUACAAGGUGCUGCACGGCUGUCGUCAGCUCGUGCCGUGAGGUAUCGGGUUAAGUCCCUUAACGAGCGCAACCCCUAUUGUUAGUUACCAACAGGUUAAGCUGGGGACUCUAGCAAAACUGCCAGCGUAAGCUGGAGGAAGGUGGGGAUGACGUCAAGUCAGCAUGGCCCUUAUGUCCAGGGCUACACACGUGUUACAAUGGCCGAUACAAAGGGCAGCCACCACGCGAGUGGGAGCUAAUCCUUAAAAUCGGUCUCAGUUCGGAUCGAAGUCUGCAAUUCGACUUCGUGAAGGUGGAAUCGGUAGUAAUCGCGCAUCAGCAAUGGCGCGGUGAAUACGUUCCCGGGCCUUGUACACACUGCCCGUCAAGCCAUGGAAAUUGGUGUUGCCUGAAGUCCGUAACCAUCCAGGAGCGGCCUAAGGCAAAACUGAUAACUGGGGCUAAGUCGUAACAAGGUAACCAAGGGCGAA